CCUAGGGUCGUAAAGCUCUUUCGCCUGUGAUGAUAAUGACAGUAGCAGGUAAAGAAACCCCGGCUAACUCCGUGCCAGCAGCCGCGGUAAUACGGAGGGGGUUAGCGUUGUUCGGAAUUACUGGGCGUAAAGCGCGCGUAGGCGGGUUGUUAAGUUAGAGGUGAAAUCCCGGGGCUCAACCCCGGAACUGCCUUUAAUACUGGCAACCUAGAGUUCGAGAGAGGUGAGUGGAAUUCCGAGUGUAGAGGUGAAACUCGUAGAUAUUCGGAGGAACACCAGUGGCGAAGGCGGCUCACUGGCUCGAUACUGACGCUGAGGUGCGAAAGUGUGGGGAGCAAACAGGAUUAGAUACCCUGGUAGUCCACACCGUAAACGAUGGAUGCCAGUCGUCGGGUAGCAUGCUAUUCGGUGACACACCUAACGGAUUAAGCAUUCCGCUUGGAACUUGGA
RNAcentral lists this ribosomal RNA (450 nucleotides) under uncultured Alphaproteobacteria bacterium. RNAcentral describes it as "bacterial SSU rRNA". It matches the Rfam family "Bacterial small subunit ribosomal RNA", at positions 416 to 884 of the family's 1533-position model. Lineage: Bacteria; Pseudomonadati; Pseudomonadota; Alphaproteobacteria. The record is from RNAcentral.